Molecule: long non-coding RNA, 1313 nt
Organism: Anopheles moucheti
Lineage: Eukaryota; Metazoa; Arthropoda; Insecta; Diptera; Culicidae
Exons: 5
Source: RefSeq, a predicted model, not a curated record
AACAAUCGCGAAUCCGCACUUAAAUUUUAUAUCUUUUUAGCAAAACAAUUGUUCCGCACGGAUUCAAAUGUAAGUCGGAACCAUCCCAGCAUCUGCGCCGUCGCCGAAGAUACAAGAAACGCCGUAAAACUCUACGCAUUGGCGUGUUCCGGUACAGUUUCAGUGCCGGCAUCGACGGAUAAGAUCUUGGGGGAUUUCCGGUAGUACGAUAGUUGCUCCGGACUCUGGAGCUCCUGUCGGGUUGCGGCAAAACGCGUACAAUGAUAGACAGCGUGUUCCACCGACUCCACCACCCCAGGGCAUCGGCGACAGACCGGGGACGACGUGAAACCCAAUCGGCACAGGUACUCACGGAAUAAUCCGUGCCCAGAGAGUACCUGCAACUGCUGGAAAGUCACGUCUCCGUGAUUCCGGGACUGCCAUGCCCUAACGUCCGGAAUGGUGCGGUGCGCCCAUCUGGUGAAGCGGCUGGCGUCGCUGCACGAUGCAUCCGCAUCCCACCGCUCCUGCCACAGCUGCAACGUCCGCUCCCGUUCCUCGCGGCGCACCUCACUGCUGCUCACUGUUGCUGCUCCGUCGGCUCCUCGAAGGCGCUGGUAGACGCGGUGGUCUUCGUCCACCAGUAAGCAGAUCGGCAGCAAACCCGACAGCAUCACCGCCGUCUCGUUCCGCGUGGUCCGGAACGAUCGCGACACCCGCAAUGCCGUCUUCCGCUGCACUCGUUGCAGCAACCGGCGACACUCCUGGAUCUCCAGUCCAUCGCGCCAGAUUGGCGCAGCAUAGCGGAUCGCGAACUCACAGCCCAAAGGGUUGGACUAGCCCACAUACCCAACAUUGGACAUACGGAAGCAUAUGCUUCAGCUGCGUACAACGAGGACAGAAGCAUAGCUUAAAAAACACGAAAUCUGUUGUUUGAACUAAUCCAACGGCUGUUUGAUCUAAUACCUCUGGCUGUUUGAUCUAAUACAACGAAUAAAUUCAUCGUUGCAGAUCGUAAAAGCAGAUGUUCAUCAUGCGCUCAUCGUUGUCCGACCGACGCUUCCAAGGAGGUACUGGACAGUUGUGCGAACAAACUGAAUUUUUGAAACGAAUUCGCAAUAUGAAGCUCGUCUCGUCAUACAAGGAAAUACGGAUUCAAUUUGCUCUGCGCUCAAGUCCCUAUGUUCCUCUGGAGGGUCUCAAGCUGACGGCUUGGUAGCUCUGAAACCUAGAGUAUCCACUCCGUCCUGUUUUGCGUCCUGUCCGCCCGAGGGUUUCGGAUUACCUCGUACACCCACAUUCGAACAAUACAUUCGAAUCCAGACCCCAUUGCA